AACGCACAUUGCGCCCCCUGGUACUCCGGGGGGCAUGCCUGUUCGAGCGUCAUUUCAACCCAUCAAGCCCCGGCUUGGCCUUGGGCGUCACGUCCCCCCGGCGGGACGCGCCCGAAACGCAUUGGCGGCGGCGUCGAAGCCCCGAGCGCAGCGGAGAAUUGUACCAAUUCUGGCUCGGGUUUUUUGGCUCUUUUGGCGUCUCCAGCCCCCGAGGCCCCCGCGCAAUGGGGGGUCUUCACGCCUCAACGGCUGACCUCGAAUCAGGUAGGGAUACCCGCUGAACUUAA
This 287-nucleotide unclassified non-coding RNA is filed under the name uncultured fungus. Its description in RNAcentral is "partial contains 5.8S ribosomal RNA, internal transcribed spacer 2, and large subunit ribosomal RNA". The stretch from base 1 to 52 matches the Rfam family "5.8S ribosomal RNA", at positions 103 to 154 of the family's 154-position model. Lineage: Eukaryota; Fungi. The record is from RNAcentral.